RNAcentral lists this ribosomal RNA (468 nucleotides) under uncultured bacterium. RNAcentral's name for it is "partial 16S ribosomal RNA". It matches the Rfam family "Bacterial small subunit ribosomal RNA", at positions 28 to 507 of the family's 1533-position model. The record is from RNAcentral.
GACGAACGCUGGCGGCGUGCUUAACACAUGCAAGUCGAACGGAAAGGCCCUGCUUUUGUGGGGUGCUCGAGUGGCGAACGGGUGAGUAACACGUGAGUAACCUGCCCUUGACUUUGGGAUAACUUCAGGAAACUGGGGCUAAUACCGGAUAGGAGCUCCUGCUGCAUGGUGGGGGUUGGAAAGUUUCGGCGGUUGGGGAUGGACUCGCGGCUUAUCAGCUUGUUGGUGGGGUAGUGGCCUACCAAGGCUUUGACGGGUAGCCGGCCUGAGAGGGUGGACAGGGACAUGGCGACUGCGGGACGGAGCAGACGGGUACGGGGGGCAACAGGGGGGAAUAUUACACAACGGGCGGGAGCCUGAUGCGGCAGCGCCGCGUGCGGGAUGACGGCCUUCGGGUGGUAAACCGCUUUCGCCUGAGACGAAGCGUGAGUGACGGUAAUGGGUAAAGAAGCACCGGCUAACUACGUG